GCACUUUUUCAAUGUGCUUGCCAACGAGAAGGCGUGAUGACUAAUUCGUAUGUCAAUCCAUAUCAACUUUCGAUGUCAUUGACUGCGCCUACCAUGGUGACCACUGGUAAUGGGGAAUCAGUGUUCGAUUCCAUACAGGGACCCUGACAAACGGCUACCACAUGCAAGAAGGGCAGC
This is a non-coding RNA of Pelobates cultripes (western spadefoot toad), 177 nucleotides long. The record is from the annotation of a GenBank genome assembly. NCBI's taxonomy places the organism in Eukaryota, Metazoa, Chordata, Amphibia, Anura, Pelobatidae.